AGUGAACGCUGGCGGCAGGCCUAAUACAUGCAAGUCGAACGGCCACACAGUAAGCGCUCUCUCCUACGGGUGGCGAGUGGCGGACGGGUGAGGCAUACAUCGGCAUCUACUUUUUCGUGGGUGACAUCGUAGGGCAACUUACGCUAAUACCGCAUAUGUCCUACGGCUGGAAGCAAGAGAUCUACGGACCUUUCGUGUUUCAUUGAGACGGUGUCGGAUUAGCUAGUUGGCGAGGUAAAGGCCCACCAAGGCGACGAUCCGUAGCUGGUCUGAGAGGAUGAUCAGCCACACUGGAACUGAGACACGGUCCAGACUCCUACGGGAGGCAGCAGUAGGGAAUAUUGGGCAAUGGGCGAAAGCCUGACCGAGCCACGCCGCGUGAGUGAUGAAGGUCUUCGGGUUGUAAAACCCUGUUAUUAGGAAAGAAAAAAAGCGGAAGAAAAUACCGAUGUUCUGACGGUACCUAAAGAGUAAGCACCGGCUAACUUCGUG
This 492-nucleotide ribosomal RNA is filed under the name uncultured bacterium. RNAcentral's name for it is "partial 16S ribosomal RNA". It matches the Rfam family "Bacterial small subunit ribosomal RNA", at positions 29 to 507 of the family's 1533-position model. The record is from RNAcentral.